AAAGGAUCCACCAGAAAGAGAGGGCACCAGCAGAAGGCAUCCUCUAUAAGAUAAAUCUUAUAAAAUAUAUAUAUUUAUGAUAAUUAAGACUGAGCCAGCAGAUGAGAAAUCCUAGCUAUUGGGCAAGCAGCAUUUGUACCAAAUAUAAGUCUCUGUAUAUUAUUUUGGGCCCUAACUAGGCGGGCAGAACUUGGGUGGCUGGUGGAAAGCGCCCACAUGGCAGUAGGGCUCAGGUGGCUUUUGGCAAAAAGAUUUAUCAUAACACAAGAUGAGAGUAGUGGCAAGCUAGUUAAACCCUCAUGUAUGCAAACAGUGUGCUGAAAACUAAACGUCAAAUGUGUCCACUUAUGCAAACAGUUAUUUCUAAUUAUAUAUGACAUGGGGUAUCCUGUGCUUCCGGGGUGCUACAGAAAGGACUUCACCUAGUAGAGACAUAUGCCCACUGAUGGAUAAUCCAGGUUGCCUGUGGAUGAAGUGCAAUGCUCUGCCAUGUCCUUCAGCAUGAGGAAUGGAAAAAAGUCUCAAUUUCUGCAGAGUAUACAUUGGACAGGGAAGUGCAUGUGGCCUUGCAAACUGAAGAAUUCAGCUGCUGAAAUCUGUUCCAAGAAGUAGAGACUGCAUUUGGAGGGUGUGGCUUGCGGGUUUCACUUACUGUUGAAAUAGAGGAUGACUUCCAAAAAACUGACAGGAGCACAGAGCCUGUGUCAUCUCCAUUCCCAGUGAUUUCUCUUUGAUUGAUGUGCCAUUAAUGCUUUAAUUGGCAACAGGUGCGGAUGAUUGCUGUUUCCUAUGCUGAGAAAUGUGAAAUUGAACAUAAGGUUCUGAUAAAUUAAUAAACUCCUCUGCUCCAAACAGUUGUUGCUCCAAACUAACUUUCCAUGGAGCACUGCUCCAUCAAGC
Molecule: long non-coding RNA, 900 nt
Filed under: Cricetulus griseus (Chinese hamster)
Lineage: Eukaryota; Metazoa; Chordata; Mammalia; Rodentia; Cricetidae
Description: lncRNA (ENSCGRG00000024889.1)
Source: RNAcentral